Aphis gossypii (cotton aphid) is the source of this 2440-nucleotide long non-coding RNA. RefSeq lists it as uncharacterized. The transcript is spliced from 4 exons. Lineage: Eukaryota; Metazoa; Arthropoda; Insecta; Hemiptera; Aphididae. The record is from RefSeq and is a predicted model, not a curated record.
UAAAUAGUGGUGGCUAGCGGUCGAGUUCAUCGAGCUCACAUAUUAUUAUUAUUAUUUAUUAUCGCUGGUGGUUUGUAAUAUAGUAUUAUUUUGUUCAACUCGGCCGGCCGAGUGACCGGACGAACGGUGCGUUGUCUACUCGUACGCGUGACAUUAUUUUGGCCGCGUUCCAAAGAAGAUUAAGAAAAAAAUUAAUAAUAAACAACCCAGUAUAAAAUGUGAUGUAUAUAUACAGAGUGAACAAAAUAUAAAUUCGUUUCGUGCAUCGCGUAGUGUUCCGAAUAUUUUAUUCAAAUAAACACGAAGUAUAUAAAAGUGAUAUAAGUGGUACCUGUGAGUCUAGGAGUGGACUGUUAUAGUUUAGUGGCCUCUAUCGACGUAUGAACUGUGUUACCAUGUGCUACAGUUGUGUACACAUACGAGCUAGUCAUUCCUUGCCGGCGACUGCGAGUUAAAUAUAUAUACAAUAGAAAUCGUUCGUUUAUAAUGACAGUCAAAGGACCAAGGAAAAUAGAUUAUAAUAACCGUUUGUUAUUAUAACCAAAAUGAUGAAAAAAAUAAUUUAAUUUUAAUACAUAGGUAUAGAAAAAAAGUAAAGAUAAAAACAUUUAUUUAUUUUAAUGAAUUUAUUAAAUUUACAAUAUUUUGUUAAACGGAUUUGUUUUGUUAAAUUGAACUUUGUUUUUAUAAAAAUUAAGCUCUAUUUUUUUUCUAAUAAAGUUCUUCAAAAUUUGUUUUUUGACAAGAUUUUUCCAACAACCAAAAAUAACCGUCAUAACAUCUCUAUAGUUAUUAUAUACAGACGUCGUAAUAAUCGUAAUACAAAUUAGUACAUAUUAUAAUAUAAGAGUUUUGCAGGGACCUUCCAAUUUAAGGUCAUUACACCCAAUACGUUAUUUUAACCAGUGUCAUUAUAAACGGUUUCUACUGUAUUGUAUAUCUAAUCAUAUUAGGUACAUAUUUUAUUUUGUUAAAUUUAACUGAUUCGAAUCAAUGCUGUAACAUCAUACACGUCAUGUAUCCUUUUGGACAGACAUAAGCAUGUCAAUAGCAUGGUUCUAGUAUUGACAACUAUACGACAUUCCGUCGUAGCAGUGUCAAAAAUACAUCGUUGUGAUCAGUGAAUACUUACAUAUACAGGGUAAAUAUAGUUUUUCUAUAUCGAGUAAUUUUAAUUGUUCUACAUUUUCAAUUUUGUGAAAUAUAUAUUAUUUACUGAUCUUAUACGGGGGGCCAAUGGUUGAAAAACGGCUGAUUUUUAAUCAUUUUAAUGCCGAGUUACGUGAAAAAUAUAUUAAUUUAAUGGCUAAAUACAAUUUAUUGGACACCAAAUCAUUUGUAAAGGGGCCACUAUUCGCUCAUUGUCGAUUUAAUAAAUGUUAAGUAAUGUUCAUGUGCGACCCUUUAUACGUGUACCUACUAUAAGUUGUUAAAUAUUAAAAGGUUUCAUUUUAUAAUAGUAAAAAUUACGAGAAAUAAAAUCUAAAACUUAUUUACGUAUGCCGUCAUUCCGAUAUGUCUUUAUACCAAUAAAGUUCUCUCAAAAAGCUUUUUAUGGGUAAAACAAUAUGUUGCCCUAAUUUCUCACUUUUUUUUAGUUAAUUAUUUUUUCUAAAAACACCACGUGCCUACCGUAACUGCUAAUAAUUUAACAUGACUAGCCGCGCAAACGCCUCACAAUACUGUAAUAGAAUAUUUAGAAACGAAUGAGAAAAUUUAAACUCGCGACACUGUUACACUAUUAUACAUACGUUACUUAUUUAAAACGUCCGUGCCAGACCGUUUCUCACGGAAACACGCUGCAAUCACAUAACAGACGUCGAGCGAGUUCAUCGUCGUCCCGAGGAUCCUACGUGCCUCCCCUCCACAAUAAUUCCUACGAAAGCCCUCGCCGACGUCCCAGCGUGUGUACCACCCGUUGGACUAGACGACCCGGUGGCGCGCGGCGGCGGCGGUCCCCAACGCGGUUUAUAAUCCGUCCGGUCGUUUAAAACCGUGUGCGCUUGGUGCGACAAAUCAGAUGGCUGUCCGACUCGUCGCCGGCAACAAGUAAUGUAAAACGAUGAAAAUAUAAUAUAUAGUAUUAUACUGUUAUACGCGUUAUAGCCUAUUAAAGGUAGACUAUUGAAAUUCCUAUACCAGUGCAGAUGACCUGUAGAACAUCGGCGUCCAAAGAGGAAGACAACUGCAUUGAUUGGAUCGACCUUGAAGACGUUCGAGAUCAAGAAAAAAUUUGGCUAAAAAGGAUGUUGUCAACUGAUAAGUUUCUUGUACCAGGAAAUGAAGAACAGAAAACAACCAGCGUUGUAUUUGAAGCACCAAUGUCUGAAUUAAAAGGUACCUAUAAUUACAAAUUUGAUUUAUUACAAAAAAAAUUAUUAACUAGGUCGUAAUGCAUUUGUAUAAUUUUCACAAAUACAAGUAAUUUUAUUUGGUUCAA